UGUUAAAAUUUUUAUCUAUUUAAACUAUUAAAAAUUGAUGUGAUGUCACAUGUACCUCAUGUUGAUGUAUAUAAACCAUUUUUAAUAGUAAAAAUGGAUGAAUUUUUUAACC
This is a non-coding RNA of Gossypium raimondii (Peruvian cotton), 112 nucleotides long. The record is from Rfam. Lineage: Eukaryota; Viridiplantae; Streptophyta; Magnoliopsida; Malvales; Malvaceae.